RNAcentral lists this ribosomal RNA (888 nucleotides) under Laccaria salmonicolor. RNAcentral describes it as "eukaryotic LSU rRNA". It matches the Rfam family "Eukaryotic large subunit ribosomal RNA", at positions 64 to 938 of the family's 3401-position model. Lineage: Eukaryota; Fungi; Basidiomycota; Agaricomycetes; Agaricales; Hydnangiaceae. The record is from RNAcentral.
ACUAACAGGAUUCCCCUAGUAACUGCGAGUGAAGCGGGAAAAGCUCAAAUUUAAAAUCUGGCAGUCUUUGGCUGUCCGAGUUGUAAUCUAGAGAAGUAUUAUCCGCGCUGGACCGUGUACAAGUCUCCUGGAAUGGAGCGUCAUAGAGGGUGAGAAUCCCGUCUUUGACACGGACUGCCAGGGCUUUGUGAUAUGCUCUCAAAGAGUCGAGUUGUUUGGGAAUGCAGCUCAAAAUGGGUGGUAAAUUCCAUCUAAAGCUAAAUAUUGGCGAGAGACCGAUAGCGAACAAGUACCGUGAGGGAAAGAUGAAAAGAACUUUGGAAAGAGAGUUAAACAGUACGUGAAAUUGCUGAAAGGGAAACGCUUGAAGUCAGUCGCGUUGGCCAGGGAUCAACCUUGCUUUUUUGCUUGGCUUACUUUCUGGUCAAUGGGUCAGCAUCAAUUUUGACUGGUGGAAAAAGUUCAAGGGAAUGUGGCAUCUUCGGAUGUGUUAUAGCCUUUGUUCAUAUGCAUUGGUUGGGAUUGAGGAACUCAGCACGCCGAAAGGCCGGGUUUUUAACCACGUACGUGCUUAGGAUGCUGGCAUAAUGGCUUUAAUCGACCCGUCUUGAAACACGGACCAAGGAGUCUAACAUGCCUGCGAGUGUUUGGGUGAAAAACCCGAGCGCGUAAUGAAAGUGAAAGUUGAGAUCCCUGUCGUGGGGAGCAUUGACGCCCGGAUCUGACCUUUUGUGACGAUUCUGCGGUAGAGCAUGUAUGUUGGGACCCGAAAGAUGGUGAACUAUGCCUGAAUAGGGUGAAGCCAGAGGAAACUCUGGUGGAGGCUCGUAGCGAUUCUGACGUGCAAUCGAUCGUCAAAUUUGGGUAUAGGGGCGAAAGACUAAUCGA